CGUAGGUGGCAAGGCGUUGUCCGGAUUUAUUGGGUUUAAAGGGUGCGUAGGCGGUCCUAUAAGUCAGUGGUGAAAUACGGCAGCUCAACUGUCGAGGUGCCAUUGAUACUGCGGAACUUGAGUACUGAUGAGGUAGGCGGAAUUGACGGUGUAGCGGUGAAAUGCUUAGAUAUCGUCAAGAACACCGAUAGCGAAGGCAGCUUACCAAGCAGUAACUGACGCUGAGGCACGAAAGUGCGGGGAUCAAACAGGAUUAGAUACCCUGGUAGUCCGCACAGUAAACGAUGAUUACUCGAUGUUGGCGAUACACAGCCAGCGUCUUAGCGAAAGCGAUAAGUAAUCCACCUGGGGAGUACGCCCGCAAGGGUG
Molecule: ribosomal RNA, 369 nt
Filed under: uncultured organism
Description: bacterial SSU rRNA
Rfam family: Bacterial small subunit ribosomal RNA
Source: RNAcentral